CAUUCAGUAGCAUAGUGGUUAGCGCACAGCCCCGGAAAGGUUGAGACGCGGGUUCGAAUCCCGCCUGAUGU
RNAcentral lists this transfer RNA (71 nucleotides) under Nippostrongylus brasiliensis. It matches the Rfam family "tRNA". From Rfam's summary of the family: Transfer RNA (tRNA) molecules are approximately 80 nucleotides in length. Their secondary structure includes four short double-helical elements and three loops (D, anti-codon, and T loops). The record is from Rfam by way of RNAcentral. Lineage: Eukaryota; Metazoa; Nematoda; Chromadorea; Rhabditida; Heligmosomidae.